RNAcentral lists this long non-coding RNA (7815 nucleotides) under Cricetulus griseus (Chinese hamster). RNAcentral's name for it is "lncRNA (ENSCGRG00015030091.1)". Lineage: Eukaryota; Metazoa; Chordata; Mammalia; Rodentia; Cricetidae. The record is from RNAcentral.
GAAUGAUGAAUUCUCUUCAGUAGCAUUGGUUUUUGUUGUUGUUGUUGUUGUUGUUGUUUUCCUUUGCUUUGCUGAGAUAGUUAGAGGCCUAGAGAGCAUUUCUUUAACAGACAUCCUUAUGUAUCAUGAGCAUCAAAUACCAUUUCCUGAGAAAGUCAUCAAACUUACACCUGAUUAUGUGUCUUCCCAGUCCACUGCAGAGAUCUCAGACUGACUCAAUAGCUCCCACCAUCCUUUAAAAGCCAGCACAGAAGUGAUUCUCAGUUACUUCCACACCUCUCAUGGCAGUAACGAUGUACAGACCAGGCUGUAAAGCACUGUGAAUGAGGUGGGUCCACAGCAGUUAUAAAAUUGCCCUGUGAGCUGGUUCUGCACUGGGGGGUCAUUAAGGUUCCCAUUUCAAGAACAUCCCUCGCCCUCUGGCCACAUCGGGAUAAACACAGCAUUCUCCAUGGGCUCUAUCUCUCUGCCCAGCUGUGACUUAAAGAGUUUAUUUCUAGGUACUCCAGGCAUUUCAUUGCAGCCCACUUCCACCUCCACCCUCAGCUGACAACCGGAGACACUCAGUAAUUAUCAGCAGUCUUCACUUGCAAUGAUUCUCUACCACACUAAAUACAAAUACGGAUAGUGUGGGCACAAAAUCCUCUGUAAAUUCUGAUACUGGGAAACUAAGUAGUUCUGUAGAAAAUGGUUGGAUUAAGAGAUUUUUUCAAGAAUUGAGGCCAUAGUGUUGAAUAACUUUUGGGGGUAACCUAUGCAUAAAUCCUGGGACUGUUCAUUUUGAGAGACAUUACAAACCUUAGCUGCUGACUUGUCUUAGUUAGGGUUUCUAUUGCUGUAAAGAGACACCAUGACCACAGCAACUCUUCUAAAGGAAAACAUUUAAUUGGGGCUGGCUUCCAGAUUCAGAGGCUUAGUCCAUAUUGUUACAGUGAGAAGCAUGGCAGCAUGCAGGCAGACAUGGUGCUGGAGAGGUGUCUGAGAGUUCUACAUCUUGAUUCACAGGAAGCAGGAAGAGACUAUGAGCCACAGUGUAACUUGAGUAUAUGGGACCUCAAAAACUGUCCCACAGUGACACACUUCUUCCAACAAGGCCACACCUACAUCAAUAAGGCCAUACUCCCUAAUACUGCCACUCCCUAUGGGCCAAGUAUUCAAACAUAUGAAUCUACAUGGCCAUUCCUAUCGAAACCACCAUAUUCCACUUUCUGGCACCCCUAGGCUUGUAGCCAUACCAUAAUACGGAAAUGCAUUCAGUCUAACUUCACAAGUCUGCACAGUCUAUAAUUGUCUCAAAUUUGCUUAAAAUUCCAAAGUUCAAAGUCUCUUCUGAGACUCGUGCAAUCUCUUAACUGUAAUCCCCUGCAAAACAAUGAAGAAGCAGAUCACAUACUUCCAACAUUUAAUGGCACAGGAUAUACAUUAUUGUUCCAAAAUGGAGAAAAGGGAGCAUAGUGAAAUAUUGGCCACAACACACACUAUCCACACAGACACUCUGCAACCCAGACAGGUACAGGUAGCAUCAUGAACACCCCAAGGUAUUCUUUCUCCAGAGAGAAGGAACAAGAAGAACCACUGGAAAAGCAGCAGAUCUGGAGAGGAAGAAAGUGUCAGGUUGCUAGGAACCUGGCCUAUCUGGCUGAUGGAUAUGGAAUCUUCUUAUGAUGGGAAAGGCCAGGUUAAAUAUCCCUUUCUGGGGAUAUUCUUCAGGCAGUAGGCUAGAAGAAAAACAAAAUUAACCAAGAUUUCUUGAAUACAGCAGUAUGUUUUAUGAAGCAGUUGUCCUUGUUUGUAGGUGAAGCAAAGCCUUGAUGUUUGCAGGCACCCUGUGAUCCAGGUAGUAUUUACUCUUAGCUGGAAGCAACAAUAUACUAAAGGCAGAAUCAGCCAUUGUGUGCUGAGAGCAUGGGCACAGUCCUUCAAGAAGCGGGAAAGUGGGGAGCAUCGAGUGACCAAACCAAUGGUAGACAGGACAUGGAGCCCAGUUCUGAACACAUUGGAUGAUUGGGACCACUUCCUGGUUGGCCUUUGCUACACAGAGUAGCAGGAGUUGAUUAUAUUGGUUACAUUUUUCAUUGUUACGACAAAAAUACCUGACUAAAACAAUUUAAAGAAAAGAUGAGUUUAAUUAAGUUUUCAGUUUGAGUAGAGAUAUAGUCCAUCAUUGCAGGGAAGUCAUGAUGGCAGGACCACGAGGGGACUAGUCACACAGUGUCUACUGUUAGGAAACAAAGUGAUGACUUCUGGUCACCAACUGAUUUCCCUAUUUUCCCCCAUUAUAUUCAGUCUAGAACCUCAGCCCAUGGCAUGGUGGCACCCACAUUUAGCAUGGACCUUCCCUCUUAAGAUAGUUCAGUCUUGCCAGGCAUUGGUGGCACACGCCUUUAAUCCCAGCACUUGGGAGGCAGAGGCAGGCGGAUCUCUCUGAGUUUGAGACCAGCUUGGUCUACAAGAGCUAGUUCCAGGGCAGCCUCCAAAGCCACAGAGAAACCCUGUCUCGAAAAACAAAAAACAAAACAAAACAAAACAAAAACAAAAAAGAUAGUUCAAUCUUUCUGGAAACACUGCAUCUAUAUGGCCCCAACACUUGUUUUCAGAGUGAUUCUAAUCACUGGAGACCUUGCUUUACUAAAUAUUUUCAGCACCAGACAGGGUGCAGUGGGGCAGGGCCUCCUCACUCACCCAUGUCCGAGGUGUCAUUUUGGAAGGUUGAUGGCUGGGUGUUAGAAUCAUGUGGCAACAUUUUCAAACACAAGUCUGGUGAUGGGAGAAGACCUUUAUGUUUCUCUUAUUGGUUGAUGAAUAAAACACUGUUGGCCAAUAAGGCAUGAAAAUAGGUGGAACUAGGAGGACGAGAAUUCUGGGAAAGUCAAGCAGAGUGAGCCCGCUACACAGUCUCGAUGCUGCUGAAGAAGUAACACCAUGCCGGGCAUUACCGGGCCAUGGAAUGAUUUCAGUGGAAGAUUAGGCUCCAAGAAGCCAGUCCAGUCUCUAUGCUCAUUCAACCUGGAGCUGAGUUUUACUUCCAUCAUUUGGAGUAGUCUGUCUGGGAAACUGUGUUCACCUGGCUCAACUUCCUUGACCUUAAGAUCCUUCCGUUUUAAAUCCAGACUUCAGUUUAUUGAGGUGUCACUUAGAGUCACUCCUUGUAAGUGGUAGAUUUUGACGAACAUACCCAUCAACACAGCGUAACUACAGCCCUUGCAUUUUCUGCUCAGAAUAACGUUUUCCCAUUCCUAUUAUUUUGAAGUUUCCAGAUCCUCAUUUAUGAAACAAGGCUGACUUUUUUCAUACUCCUGAGUACAGCCAACAUGUUAAAAUGUAAGGUUUUAAUUGUGAUAAAAUUCACAACUUUCUUCUUUUACGAAUUAUACAUUUGGUGUCUUUUCUACAAAAUCUUUUGUUAGACAAAAGAUCACAAAUUCUUUCUCUUAAGUUCUUUUUCAGAUUUUUCUUUGCUUUAAUUUUAUUUUGAAACUCAUUUGUGUGAGUGUACCUGUCACAGUGUGUGUGGAGGUCAGAGACAACUUUCAUGAGUUGUGUUACCCACACCAGCCUAUAAAUUUGUUGAAGUGAAUUGAAUCUCUCAGAAUACAUGGGUGUAUUAAAGCCACAUCAAGAAACCCAGGUCCCGAUAUGUAGUUGACACAAUGCACCAAGGGAAGGGUGUAACUCCCUCACCUGCACCCAGGAAGAAAUGCACCGCUAGUACUACGAUGGCAGCUGCCCCCAGUGACGGAUCAUCUGACCUCCUGGGUGUGAGUCGAGGGAUCAACAGGCAGAGAAUUCCCAGCAGUCACAAGGGCUUCCACAUGACUUUGUUCCGAAAGUUGAUGUGGUCUGUCCACUGCUUUGUCCAUCCUCCUGCUUAUCUGUGUGGACCUGUCUGGACUCAUUUGUCUCUAGACCCAGCCUCACCUUUCACUUCCCCAAUAGGAUUCAACUUCACAGCUCAACCAGCAGUCCGUAUGUGACUCUAAGGUAGCUAUGACUGUUUCUCCAGCUGCUGCGGUCAGCUAUCUCACCCAUCUGGCCCUAUCUGCAUGUCUAUCACUUUCCCUGUUUCUUGGGACUUCAGAAACCUCUUAAACUCUGCUGCAGUCUCAGAACUCUUUGUAGUCAGUCACUUUGUCACUAUAUAUAUAUAUAUAUAUAUAUAUAUAUAUAUAUAUAUUGUGAAAUAUGUAAUGUGUGACCUGAGAGUUAAUAUUAGUAAUUAAGUUUUCAUUAUUGUUAGUUUUAGACAAGUUAAUAUACUCUUAUACAUACCUGGGAAGAGAGAAUCACAAAUGAGUAAUUGUCUCUGUCAGAUUGGCCUGUGGGUAUGCCUGUGUGGCAUUUUCUUGAUUGCUGCUUGGUGUAGAGGGGCCCAGACCUACCAUGGGGCAGUGCCAAACCUGGGCAGGUGGUCUUGGGUUCUAUGAGAAAACAAGCUGAGCAAGCCACAAAUAAGCAAACUAAUAAACAAAUUUCCUGCAGGGCCUCUGCUUCAGUUUCUGCCAUUGUGUCCCUGCCUUGAGUUCCUGCCCUGACUUCCCUCAGUGUAGACUGUGAUGGGAAAAUAAUGUGUAAUGAUAUGUAAGGUGAAUAAACCUUUUCCUCCCCAAAUUGCUUUUUAGUCAAGAUGUUUUAUCACAGCAGAAGAAAACAGGACAGAUUGAAAUUCUAAACACCCUGUUUGCCUCGACAUAUUGUCAAGGAAAAACAGACCAUGUGGCAAAUUGCUGUCAAAAAAAAAAUCAUCGACCCUUGCAAAUUUGUUAUGCAAUAAAUUCUGACACUGUGGGAUGACACGAACAUGUUCAUCUGUGUUUCUGGCAUAGUAGUUGCAUGACCUUCAGUGCACAUAUUUAUUUCAAAAUCUGACAAAAUGGCAAUUAUGUGCCCAAAGAACUGUGUGUUAGCCAUUCCCCAGGGACACUGUCACUGCAGCAUGGGAGAGUCCUGUGAGUGAACAGCCCCCUUCAGAGUUACAAGGGGUCUAUCCUGACCUUCCUCACGUAGAGGUGGCUUCAGUCCUUUGUCACAAAGAUGUUGAUUGACCUAUCCUUCUGUUCUUGGAACCCGAGCUGUCUCAAGAGCUGCAAGCCUACAGUUUUCCAGGAAUUUCACCCAGAAAUCCCAUGUACAGCCACGAACCCUGAACUGGCCUGAAUCGAGGUCCCUAAAGGAUGAAGAAAACUCAUCAGGCUGUCAAGAGUGACUUUGGGGUAACCUGAAUCCAUCUUUGAGGAUGGCCCCUCUUUCAGAACAUUAUUAUGACACUGCCAUUCUUGAGAUUACAGGCGGCUUUCCCAGAGCAUCACUCAUUAUCAACAGUCAACUUGACAGAACCUGGGACCGUAGAAGAGGCAAGUCUGGGGAUGUCUGCAAGACAGUUUCUAGGUUGUGUUAACUGAGAUGGGUCUUCAGACCCACCUUAAAUGUGAGAGGCACCAUCCCAUGGACUGGAGUGCUAGACUGAAUAAAAAAGGAGGGGUGAGCUGAACACCAGCAUUCAUCUCUCCUGGCUCCCCAGCUGCAGACACAGUGUGACCAGCUGCCUCUGCUCUUUACCAUGAUGGACACAUGACAUGCUGUCUCUGCUCUCUCCACCAUGGUGGAACUUGAGCCAAAAUAAAUCCUUCCUUCUUUGUAGUACUUUGUCAGAUACAGUGUAGUGACAAAGCUGCAGCUAAGAGACCGGUGUCUGCAUGCUGCUCACACCUGUCAGGACUCAGGCUUUGACUCCAGUAGCUCCAGUAACAGCUUUCUUUUUGCCUUCCCCUCAACAAAACCUUCCUCUAAGGGUUAUUAUUUCGCAGAGAACCCCUACUUUAAAGGAAUCCAUAGCGUGGAGAAUGUAUAAAAAUGAUGAUUUCUAGGACCACAAAUGUUUGCCUGGCUGUGUAACAAGGGUGUUGCAUUGGCUCACUUUCCUACCAUGGAAUACAGUCAUGGCCAGGCCAACACCAACUCAAAAGAAGACAAGGCCUGAAGGCAGCAUGGCUAGGAUGCCAGCAGCAGAAUACUGGAGUUACCAGGAAAUGAUGACAAGUACAAGUGCCCAUGCCCUGCCUAUAUACAUAGUGGGCAAUGACAAGAACCCCCUCCUAGGUCUUGAGUGACAUAUUGAUUUUGGAGUUUAGAGCAAGUGUGGAUGGAGGCCGGAGAGAGCUGGCUGCAGACACUGUGGUGACUUUCAGCCAAGCCUGGAGGGGUUUCCAGAGCCCAUGCUAGAAGGUUUUCAUGCAUGGCAGAGGUUUCCAUGAUUGCGUUGCCUGCCUUUCUGCAGAACGACACACUGACAGUCACUCUCCAAGCUUAUUAGUCACUUGCAAUUUUCAUGAAGGAGUUUAGUUCUAAUCUAGGGAAAAAAACAUAUAUAAGGUAGCAAUUUCAUAAAGCAGGACCCAAAUUGUGCACCAAGGAAUGAAUCCUCACAGGAGAUCCAGAAACUGGUAAAAGGCAAGUCCACAUGCAUCAAAGCCCAGCAGACAAGAAAUGCUUGGAUCCUUGGCUGAGUCCACACUGGCCAAGCUAGAACCACUUCUGCUCUCUGUCUCUUAUGUCAUGCUUCUUGUCUCUGGGCUCCAUGUUGCUGCAAUCCCUGCUCCAACUACAUUCUUUACUAACCUGAAUGAAAAUGUCUAUGUUCAAGGACAUCAGGCCCAGGCCUGGCAAAUCACAGCUGCACCAUGGGCCCUACUGCUCCACUUCUCACAAGCUGCUUUUUAAUCACUUCUGUUUCAAAUCUAACCCAAGUGGAGAAGACAUGAAAAGAAAAUGUAAGCUGUACUCUAAUAGAUUUUGGAAUUGGAGGCAGAAGCAGCAGGCAUCUGAUUGCUGUCCUGUGCCCAUAGGAAGGGCCAGUUCUCUUGGCAGAGAAAACCUGGUUUCUGACUCUGAGAGAUAAUAAAGGCUAACAGCCUAUGCUGUAGUGUAGGGGUGGCACUUAGAUGUGGGCAUUCUGCUUGAGGACUGGGGUGCCAGAGCAAAGGCUGUGUCAGUAUUUAAAAUUGUAAGCAGCCUCAUAGAAAAUGUGUAUUUUUCAUGUACUUUAUCGAGUGAAUUCCUCCUAUAUAUUUUUAUACAUGGAAUGUUUGAUGUGCACUCCCCCAGGUAAUUUGCUCCCAUAAUUGGCAAUAAAUGUUAGUUAAAUUUAAUAUAUUAGUGUUGUGCUGGAUAGUUUUAUGUCAACUAGACACAGCUAGAGUCAUCAAGGAGGAAGGAGCCUCCAUUGAGGAAAUGCUUCCAUAAGAUCCAGCUGUAAGGCAUUUUAUUUUCUUAAUUAGUGAUCAAUGGGGAGGGCCGAGCCCAUUGUGGAUGGUGCCAUCUCUGGGCUGGUGGUCCUAGGUUCUGUAAGAAAGCAGGCUGAGCAAGCCAUAGGGAGCAAGCCAGUAAGCAGCACCCUCCAUGGCCUCUACAUCAGUUUGUGCUGGUUCUUCCCCUGUUUGAGUUCUUGUCUUGACUCCUUUGAUGAUGAACAGUGAUAUGGAAGUGGAAGCCAACUAAACUCUUUCCUCCCCAACUUGAUUUUUGAUUGCAAUAGAAACCCAAACCAAAAUAAAUAUUUCCAGACAAUAUCAUUUUAAUUUUUGUGUAGAUUUACGCAUAUAUGAUGUGCAUGCAUACAUACAUGUGUUUAUAUGUAUGUGGAUAUACAUGUUUGGUUGGCACCAAGUUGAUGCCUAGUGUCUUCCCAAUCUCUCUCAACCUUAUAUACAGAGGCAGGGUCUCUCACUUAAACAUGGAGUUAUCCCAUUUUGUUAGUCUAGCUAUCUUGCUCACUCAGGGGAUCUCCUGUCUCUCUUCUCCAUCACUGGCCUUACACAG